This 70-nucleotide transfer RNA is filed under the name Elateridae sp. 2 ACP-2013. RNAcentral describes it as "tRNA-Ile". Lineage: Eukaryota; Metazoa; Arthropoda; Insecta; Coleoptera; Elateridae. The record is from RNAcentral.
AAAUGAAGUGCCUGAAAUCAAAGGGUUAUUUUGAUAGAAUAAAUCAUGUAAGAAAACCAUUACCUUCAUU